RNAcentral lists this ribosomal RNA (1206 nucleotides) under metagenome. Its description in RNAcentral is "bacterial SSU rRNA". It matches the Rfam family "Bacterial small subunit ribosomal RNA", at positions 297 to 1498 of the family's 1533-position model. The record is from RNAcentral.
AGGUUGGCCCGCAACAUCGGGACUGAGACACUGCCCGGACCUCCACGGAGGGCUGCAGUAACGAAUAUUGGGCAAUGAGCGAAAGCUUGACCCAGCGACGCCGCGUGUAGGAGGAAGUCUUUCGGGAUGUAAACUACUGUCAGGGGGACGAAAGUGCGCUUCGGUGCAUUGAUCGAACCCAGAGGAAGUCACGGCUAACUUCGUGCCAGCAGCCGCGGUAAGACGAAGGUGGCAAGCGUUGUUCGGUAUUACUGGGCUUAAAGCGUGUGUAGGCGGAAGCGUAAGCGUUUUGUGAAAUCCCUCGGCUUAACCGAGGAAUUGCUUGGCGAACUGCGUUUCUUGAGGCAGGUAGGGGUGCGCAGAACUCUUGGUGGAGCGGUGGAAUGCGUAGAUAUCAAGAGGAAUGCCGGUGGAGAAGUCGGUGCACUGGGCCUGACCUGACGCUGAGACACGAAAGCGUGGGGAGCGAACGGGAUUAGAUACCCCGGUAGUCCACGCCGUAAACGAUGCCUACUAGGUUGUGGUGGUUUGACGCCAGCACAGCCGAAGCUAAAGUGUUAAGUAGGCCGCCUGGGGAGUACGGUCGCAAGGCUAAAACUCAAAGGAAUUGACGGGGGCUCACACAAGCGGUGGAGCAUGUGGAUUAAUUCGAACCAACGCGCAGAACCUUACCAGGGUUUGACAUGCUUGGAUGCCGCCGAGGAAACUCGGUUAGGCUGCCUUCGGGUGAAACUUGCACAGGUGCUGCAUGGCUGUCGUCAGCUCGUGUCGUGAGAUGUCGGGUUAAGUCCCUUAACGAGCGAAACCCUUGCCGCUAGUUGCCAGCGAGUCAUGUCGGGGACUCUAGCGGGACUGCCGGUGUUAAACCGGAGGAAGGUGGGGAUGACGUCAAGUCAUCAUGGCCUUUAUGCCCUGGGCUUCACACGUGCUACAAUGGUCAGAACAGAGCGACGCAAGACCGUGAGGUGGAGCAAAUCGCAAAAAUCUGGCCCCAGUUCGGAUUGCAGGCUGGCAACUCGCCUGCAUGAAGGUGGAAUCGCUAGUAAUCGCGUAUCAGCGAUGACGCGGUGAAUGUGUUCCUGAGCCUUGUACACACCGCCCGUCAAGUGAUGGGAGUUGGGAGUACCCGAAGUCGUCUUGCUAACCCCUCGGGGAGGCGGAUGCCGACGGUAAGCCCGAUGACUGGCACUAAGUCGUAACAAGGUA